GACGAACGCUGGCGGCGUGCCUAAUACAUGCAAGUUGAGCGCUGAAGGUUGGUACUUGUACCCACUGGAUGAGCAGCGAACGGGUGAGUAACGCGUGGGGAAUCUGCCUUUGAGCGGGGGACAACAUUUGGAAACGAAUGCUAAUACCGCAUAAAAACUUUAAACACAAGUUUUAAGUUUGAAAGAUGCAAUUGCAUCACUCAAAGAUGAUCCCGCGUUGUAUUAGCUAGUUGGUGAGGUAAAGGCUCACCAAGGCGAUGAUACAUAGCCGACCUGAGAGGGUGAUCGGCCACAUUGGGACUGAGACACGGCCCAAACUCCUACGGGAGGCAGCAGUAGGGAAUCUUCGGCAAUGGACGAAAGUCUGACCGAGCAACGCCGCGUGAGUGAAGAAGGUUUUCGGAUCGUAAAACUCUGUUGGUAGAGAAGAACGUUGGUGAGAGUGGAAAGCUCAUCAAGUGACGGUAACUACCCAGAAAGGGACGGCUAACUACG
Molecule: ribosomal RNA, 495 nt
Filed under: uncultured bacterium
Lineage: Bacteria
Description: partial 16S ribosomal RNA
Rfam family: Bacterial small subunit ribosomal RNA
Source: RNAcentral